GUGUCAGCCGCCGCGGUAAGACGUAGGAUGCGAGCGUUGUCCGGAUUCAUUGGGCGUAAAGAGUUCGUAGGCGGUUUGUUAAGUCUGAUGUUAAAGAUCGGGGCUCAACCCUGGGAGUGCAUUGGAUACUGGCAGACUGGAGUGCAGUAGAGGCGAGUGGAAUUCCCAGUGUAGCGGUGAAAUGCGUAGAUAUUGGGAAGAACACCGGUGGCGCAGGCGACUCGCUGGGCUGUAACUGACGCUGAGGAACGAAAGCUAGGGGAGCAAAUGGGAUUAGAAACCCUGGUAGUCC
RNAcentral lists this ribosomal RNA (292 nucleotides) under uncultured bacterium. RNAcentral describes it as "partial 16S ribosomal RNA". It matches the Rfam family "Bacterial small subunit ribosomal RNA", at positions 505 to 796 of the family's 1533-position model. The record is from RNAcentral.